CGAGACCUCAGGUCAGGCGGGACUACCCGCUGAGUUUAAGCAUAUCAAUAAGCGGAGGAAAAGAAACUAACAAGGAUUCCCCUAGUAACGGCGAGCGAACCG
This 102-nucleotide ribosomal RNA is filed under the name Bionia coriacea. Its description in RNAcentral is "partial 26S ribosomal RNA". It matches the Rfam family "Eukaryotic large subunit ribosomal RNA", at positions 1 to 100 of the family's 3401-position model. Lineage: Eukaryota; Viridiplantae; Streptophyta; Magnoliopsida; Fabales; Fabaceae. The record is from RNAcentral. RNAcentral also lists the same sequence under 4 other names.